GAGGAAUAUUGGUCAAUGGAGGCAACUCUGAACCAGCCAUGCCGCGUGCAGGAUGACGGUCCUAUGGAUUGUAUACUGCUUUUGUACGGGAAGAAAUGUAAUUACGUGUAAUUAUUUGACGGUACCGUAAGAAUAAGGAUCGGCUAACUCCGUGCCAGCAGCCGCGGUAAUACGGAGGAUCCGAGCGUUAUCCGGAAUUAUUGGGUUUAAAGGGUUCGUAGGCGGUUGAGUAAGUCAGUGGUGAAAUCUUAUAGCUUAACUAUAAAAUUGCCGUUGAUACUGCUUGACUUGAAUAGUAUGGAAGUAAUUAGAAUAUGUAGUGUAGCGGUGAAAUGCUUAGAUAUUACAUGGAAUACCAAUUGCGAAGGCAGAUUACUACGUACUUAUUGACGCUGAUGAACGAAAGCGUGGGUAGCGAACAGGA
Molecule: ribosomal RNA, 424 nt
Filed under: uncultured bacterium
Lineage: Bacteria
Description: bacterial SSU rRNA
Rfam family: Bacterial small subunit ribosomal RNA
Source: RNAcentral